RNAcentral lists this ribosomal RNA (403 nucleotides) under uncultured bacterium. RNAcentral describes it as "partial 16S ribosomal RNA". It matches the Rfam family "Bacterial small subunit ribosomal RNA", at positions 28 to 526 of the family's 1533-position model. The record is from RNAcentral.
GACGAACGCUGGCGGCGUGCCUAAUACAUGCAAGUCGAACGCAGUGGGGACGGGUGAGUAACACGUGGGUAACCUCCCAUCAGAGGGGAUAACACUUGGAAACAGGUGCUAAACCGAUACUGAUGGAUGGACCCGCGGGGCAUUAGCUAGUGGGUGGGGUAACGGCUCACCAAGGCAACGAUGCAUAGCCGACCUGAGAGGGUGAUCGGCCACACUGGAACUGAGACACGGCCCAGACUCCUACGGGAGGCAGCAGUAGGGAAUAUUCGGCAAUGGACGCAAGUCUGAUCGAGCCAAGCCGCGUGAGUGAAGAAGGUUUUCGGGUCGUAAAGCUCUGUUGUUAGAGAAGCGGUAUCCAAAGAGAAAGCCACGGCUAACUACGUGCCAGCAGCCGCGGUAAUAC